RNAcentral lists this ribosomal RNA (443 nucleotides) under uncultured bacterium. RNAcentral describes it as "partial 16S ribosomal RNA". It matches the Rfam family "Bacterial small subunit ribosomal RNA", at positions 338 to 795 of the family's 1533-position model. The record is from RNAcentral.
CCUACGGGAGGCAGCAGUGGGGGAUAUUGGACAAUGGGGGGAACCCUGAUCCAGCGACGCCGCGUGAGUGAAGCAGUAUUUCGGUAUGUAAAGCUCUGUCAGCAGGGAAGAAAGAAAUGACGGUACCUGACCAAGAAGCCCCGGCUAACUACGUGCCAGCAGCCGCGGUAAUACGUAGGGGGCAAGCGUUAUCCGGAAUUACUGGGUGUAAAGGGAGCGUAGACGGUUAAGUAAGUCUGGAGUGAAAGGCCGGGGCCCAACCCCGGGACUGCUCUGGAAACUAUUGAACUUGAGUGCAGGGGAGGUAAGCGGAAUUCCUAGUGUAGCGGUGAAAUGCGUAGAUAUUAGGAGGAACACCAGUGGCGAAGGCGGCUUACUGGACUGUAACUGACGUUGAGGCUCGAAAGCGUGGGGAGCAAACAGGAUUAGAUACCCUAGUAGUC